Molecule: small RNA, 107 nt
Filed under: Aidingimonas halophila
Lineage: Bacteria; Pseudomonadati; Pseudomonadota; Gammaproteobacteria; Oceanospirillales; Halomonadaceae
Description: t44 RNA
Rfam family: t44 RNA
About the family: This family consists of a number of bacterial RNA genes of between 135 and 170 bases in length. The t44 gene is found between the map and rpsB genes in all species in the full alignment apart from Shigella flexneri.
Source: RNAcentral
UGCAAGCAAAAUGCCUGAAAUCACACACAUACACCGGCACAUGGUCCCGGGUGCCGUCCAGGCGGAUGCCUGUCGGUCGGAUCCAUGGGGUGUAUGGAGGCCUAACC